ACGCUCGACACCUACGGGGGGCAGCAGUGGGGAAUAUUGCACAAUGGAGGAAACUCUGAUGCAGCGACGCCGCGUGAGGGAAGAAGGUCUUCGGAUUGUAAACCUCUGUUGUCAGGGACGAUGAUGACGGUACCUGACGAGGAAGCCACGGCUAACUACGUGCCAGCAGCCGCGGUAAUCUGAGGCGGGCUGGCAAGGC
Molecule: ribosomal RNA, 199 nt
Filed under: uncultured bacterium
Lineage: Bacteria
Description: partial 16S ribosomal RNA
Rfam family: Bacterial small subunit ribosomal RNA
Source: RNAcentral